UACGUAGGUGGCAAGCGUUGUCCGGAAUUAUUGGGCGUAAAGGGUGUGUAGGUGGCCAUGUUAGUCGCUUGUUAAAACCUCGGGCUCAACCCGAGAUGUGCGAGCGAAACGGCACAGCUAGAGGAUGCGAGAGAUGUAUGGAACUCAUGGAGUAGGGGUUAAAUCCGUUGAUAUCAUGGGGAACACCAAAAGCGAAGGCAGUACAUUGGCGCACUCCUGACACUGAAACACGAAAGCGUGGGUAGCGAAUGGG
RNAcentral lists this ribosomal RNA (253 nucleotides) under uncultured bacterium. RNAcentral describes it as "partial 16S ribosomal RNA". It matches the Rfam family "Bacterial small subunit ribosomal RNA", at positions 524 to 776 of the family's 1533-position model. The record is from RNAcentral.